AUGCACGCUGGCGGCGUGCCUAAUACAUGCACGUCGAGCGAACAGACGAGGAGCUUGCUCCUCUGACGUUAGCGGCGGACGGGUGAGUAACACGUGGAUAACCUACCUAUAAGACUGGGAUAACUUCGGGAAACCGGAGCUAAUACCGGAUAAUAUAUUGAACCGCAUGGUUCAAUAGUGAAAGACGGUUUUGCUGUCACUUAUAGAUGGAUCCGCGCCGCAUUAGCUAGUUGGUAAGGUAACGGCUUACCAAGGCGACGAUGCGUAGCCGACCUGAGAGGGUGAUCGGCCACACUGGAACUGAGACACGGUCCAGACUCCUACGGGAGGCAGCAGUAGGGAAUCUUCCGCAAUGGGCGAAAGCCUGACGGAGCAACGCCGCGUGAGUGAUGAAGGUCUUCGGAUCGUAAAACUCUGUUAUUAGGGAAGAACAAAUGUGUAAGUAACUAUGCACGUCUUGACGGUACCUAAUCAGAAAGCCACGGCUAACUACGUG
This 496-nucleotide ribosomal RNA is filed under the name uncultured bacterium. Its description in RNAcentral is "partial 16S ribosomal RNA". It matches the Rfam family "Bacterial small subunit ribosomal RNA", at positions 29 to 507 of the family's 1533-position model. The record is from RNAcentral.